AAAACUUUUAACAACGGAUCUCUUGGUUCUAGCAUCGAUGAAGAACGCAGCGAAACGCGAUAUGUAAUGUGAAUUGCAGAAUUCAGUGAAUCAUCGAAUCUUUGAACGCACAUUGCGCCUUCCAGUACUCUGGGAGGCAUGCCUGUCCGAGCGUCGUUU
This 159-nucleotide ribosomal RNA is filed under the name Lectera colletotrichoides. RNAcentral's name for it is "5.8S ribosomal RNA". It matches the Rfam family "5.8S ribosomal RNA". From Rfam's summary of the family: 5.8S ribosomal RNA (5.8S rRNA) is a component of the large subunit of the eukaryotic ribosome. It is transcribed by RNA polymerase I as part of the 45S precursor that also contains 18S and 28S rRNA. The record is from RNAcentral. RNAcentral also lists the same sequence under 1 other name. Lineage: Eukaryota; Fungi; Ascomycota; Sordariomycetes; Glomerellales; Plectosphaerellaceae.